This is a microRNA precursor of Chlorocebus sabaeus (green monkey), 101 nucleotides long. The record is from Ensembl. Lineage: Eukaryota; Metazoa; Chordata; Mammalia; Primates; Cercopithecidae.
UGAGGCAGGAGAAUCGCUUGAACCCAGGAGGUGGAGGUUGCAGUGAGCCUAGAUCGCGCCACUGCACUCCAGCCUGGGUGACAGAGCGAGACUCCAUCUCA